Molecule: long non-coding RNA, 799 nt
Organism: Hemicordylus capensis (graceful crag lizard)
Lineage: Eukaryota; Metazoa; Chordata; Lepidosauria; Squamata; Cordylidae
Exons: 2
Source: RefSeq, a predicted model, not a curated record
GGCGCGUUGUUUUUGAAUUUAAAAAGCACGGAGCACGCGACGAAAGGAAAAGGGCAAACAAAGGCAAUCAAACAAACACACACACAAACCCCAUAAAUAAAUAAACGAGGCCAAAGCAGCGCCCCCUUCCAGAGGACGGUUUAAAGGGAAGCGCAGGGGCAAGCAAAGACACACAAAGACACACGCGUGCACAAAUACGGCAAAAGCGUGGCGGCCCCCCCCCCCGCUUCCAAAGACAAGCAAAAGGGCAAGCCAAUAAAAGGGAGGCAAAAGCAUGGCCCCCCCCUUCCCAAGAACGAGGGAAACGGAUCCGUGUCGUCCGUUGAAGUUCUCCUGUCACUGGGUGUACAAAACCAGAAAUAAAAUAAAAUAAAAUAAUCUUCUCUUCCUUCCCCUCAGCUGCAUCCUGAGGGGAAAAGGGACACAUACCCCGCUCCUCUCAGUGGCCUUUCUUCUCUCCUUUGGGCUGAGGGGGAAAGUUGUAUGUGCCUCAAAACCUCAGAAAACGAAAGAAAGAAGGAAAAAAAGGAAUCCCAUACACCUUGAGGACCGAGUGGAUAGAUGUCUGAAUCACUUUCCUGGGAUCAACACUUAUCUUUCUGCUAUUGAAUCCACUUGCUUUGUUUGGUUCCUUAUAGACAUGCUGCAACAUUGGCUAUAUGUGCGGUAUCGGAAGCCAUUAAUGUUUUAUUCAUCUUAUGUUAAAUGUAUUUUUAUCUACUUUAUGUAUUUAUUUUUGCUGCUUUUCUUUUUGUAUGCUGGCCUUGGGCCGAAAUAAACAAUACAAUACAAUACAAUA